AAUUGUUUUAAAAAAACAACCCCUUCUUCAAUAUGGUCGUUCAUUUUGAAUUCAUUUCAACCAACCAAAUAAUCUCAGAUCUGAAAAUGAAAACCUCACAGCCCGACAACCACCGUCAACCGCGACACAGCCACCGCUAACAAACCACGACAACGACCAGCCCACCAAACCACCGUCAACCGCGACGCAGCCACCGAACGCCAACCGCUGCCACCAACCCACCAACCCACCAACCCACCAACCGGUCACGCUGAGUCAGUCCGGAUCGGUGAUAGACUCAGCAAGAUGAUUCAUUUGCACUCAGUAAUUUGACUCAGCUGCUCUCGCUGGUUCAUCCUUUGCUAAACCCACACCCUCACUCUUCAGGAAUAAUUUUGAGUCAACAACGAAGCUAAACACUAUUUUUCUAAGCAUCAAAACGGACAAGCGUUCACUCUUUUGAUGAUAUCUCAAUUUCUACAUGUCGGAAUGCGACAAUUUUGAUUUGGCUAGAAAGUAGGCUUCAAGAGCUUUCCAACGACAGGUCACACGUCCCUAUAGGCAUUGUAGAACAAGAGUUAUGAUAUAAACAAGGUGGCUCGACUAUCCGAUUCGCCCACGGCGCACAACGCUGGCCCGACAUACUCUUCCCCUUGGGCGCGAAAAUCAGCGACCCACCAGCGGGCCCGCUGGUUUCUGCGCCUAUCUGAUUUCCGGGUGGAUUCGUUGCAUUCGUUCUCGUGAUCGUUCAAUUAAAUGAUAAUUUAUGUAAUUAUUAUUAUUUCCUAUUUUGUUUAGAAUUUAGGAAGCAUAUAAAUACUUCAAGGGAAUUAAUUUAUUUCCCUUAUGCUUUAUUUCCUUUAUGUUUUAAUUCCCUUAGAGUUCUAUUUCAUGUUCUUUUUCUUUCUUCUCCUUUCAUGAACCCUAGUUUUUCUGCAUACUCCAUUAAUGUAACUCUUUGAGUUAUUAUUGA
Spinacia oleracea (spinach) is the source of this 952-nucleotide long non-coding RNA. RefSeq lists it as uncharacterized. Lineage: Eukaryota; Viridiplantae; Streptophyta; Magnoliopsida; Caryophyllales; Amaranthaceae. The transcript is spliced from 2 exons. The record is from RefSeq and is a predicted model, not a curated record.